UUUUUUUGCCGAGAUCGCUUUUUGGGAGUUCCGCCAUAAGAACUAUCAUCUGACUCACUUUCCUCAGAGGUGACAGAUUCAGCUUCAUCGUCUAAAUCGCGAAUUGUUCGAUGACGAGAAAAAGAUGAACCAUUUCUAGUACCUUUACGAUGCUUGGAUGGGAACACAUCUUCUUGAUCAUCAGUGUCUACAUAUCUUCCUGGAUUACUACGAGUGCG
Non-coding RNA from Schizosaccharomyces pombe (fission yeast), 218 nucleotides. Lineage: Eukaryota; Fungi; Ascomycota; Schizosaccharomycetes; Schizosaccharomycetales; Schizosaccharomycetaceae. The record is from the annotation of a GenBank genome assembly.